This 494-nucleotide ribosomal RNA is filed under the name uncultured bacterium. RNAcentral describes it as "bacterial SSU rRNA". It matches the Rfam family "Bacterial small subunit ribosomal RNA", at positions 29 to 529 of the family's 1533-position model. The record is from RNAcentral.
AAUGAACGUUGGCGGCGUGGAUUAGGCAUGCAAGUCGAGCGAGAAUUUGCGAUUGGAAGCUUCGGCCGAAGAAAGUGAAGGAAAGCGGCAAACGGCGUAGUAAGGCGUAGGUACGUACCCUCGGGUCGGGAAUAGCCAUGGGAAACUGUGGGUAAUGCCCGAUAAUCUCUGCGGAGCAAAGGUGUGAUUCCGCCGGAGGAGCGGCUUACGUGAUAUUAGCUAGUUGGUGGGGUAAUGGCCUACCAAGGCAACGAUGUCUAGGGGGUGUGAGAGCAUGGCCCCCACCACUGGGACUGAGACACUGCCCAGACACCUACGGGUGGCUGCAGUCGAGAAUCUUUGGCAAUGGGCGCAAGCCUGACCAAGCGACGCUGCGUGCGGGAUGAAGGCCCUUGGGUUGUAAACCGCUGUCAGGGGGGAUCAAGGCGAAAGCUUGAGAGAGCCCCAGAGGAAGCACGGGCUAAGUUCGUGCCAGCAGCCGCGGUAAUGUCUAG